UGGGGAAUAUUGCACAAUGGGGGAAACCCUGAUGCAGCGACGCCGCGUGAACGAAGAAGGUAUUCGUAUCGUAAAGUUCUGUCCUAUGGGAAGAUAAUGACAGUACCAUAGAAGAAAGCUCCGGCUAAAUACGUGCCAGCAGCCGCGGUAAUACGUAUGGAGCGAGCGUUGUCCGGAAUUAUUGGGCGUAAAGGGUACGCGGGCGGUUUAAUAAGUCGAAUGUUAAAGAUCGGGGCUCAACCCCGCAAAGCAUUGGAAACUGAUAAACUUGAGUAGUGGAGAGGAAAGUGGAAUUCCUAGUGUAGUGGUGAAAUACGUAGAUAUUAGGAGGAAUACCAGUAGCGAAGGCGACUUUCUGGACACAAACUGACGCUGAGGUACGAAAGCGUGGGGAGCAAACAGG
This 403-nucleotide ribosomal RNA is filed under the name bacterium. RNAcentral describes it as "partial 16S ribosomal RNA". It matches the Rfam family "Bacterial small subunit ribosomal RNA", at positions 355 to 776 of the family's 1533-position model. The record is from RNAcentral.